RNAcentral lists this ribosomal RNA (408 nucleotides) under uncultured bacterium. RNAcentral's name for it is "bacterial SSU rRNA". It matches the Rfam family "Bacterial small subunit ribosomal RNA", at positions 32 to 432 of the family's 1533-position model. The record is from RNAcentral.
AAUCAACGCUGGCGGCGUGCCUCAGACAUGCAAGUCGAACGAUUAAAGCUCUCUUCGGAGAGUGUAUAAAGUGGCGCACGGGUGAGUAACACGUAAGUAAUCUACCUUCGAGUGGGGAAUAACGUCCGGAAACGGACGCUAAUACCGCAUAACGCAGCGGCAUCGCAAGAUGACAGUUGUUAAAGAUUUAUCGCUUGAAGAGGAGCUUGCGGCAGAUUAGCUUGUUGGUAAGGUAACGGCUUACCAAGGCUACGAUCUGUAACCGGUCUAAGAGGACGGUCGGUCACACUGACACUGAAUAACGGGUCAGACUCCUACGGGAGGCAGCAGUCGGGAAUUUUGGGCAAUGGGGGAAACCCUGACCCAGCAACGCCGCGUGAAGGAUGAAGUAUUUCGGUAUGUAAACUU